This 255-nucleotide ribosomal RNA is filed under the name uncultured bacterium. Its description in RNAcentral is "partial 16S ribosomal RNA". It matches the Rfam family "Bacterial small subunit ribosomal RNA", at positions 524 to 776 of the family's 1533-position model. The record is from RNAcentral.
UACGUAGGGUGCGAGCGUUAAUCGGAAUUACUGGGCGUAAAGCGUGCGCAGGCGGUUAUGUAAGACAGUUGUGAAAUCCCCGGGCUCAACCUGGGAAUUGCAUCUGUGACUGCAUAGCUAGAGUACGGUAGAGGGGGAUGGAAUUCCGCGUGUAGGCAGUGAAAUGCGUAGAUAUGACGGAGGAACACCGAUGGCGAAGGCAAUCCCCUGGACCUGUACUGACGCUCAUGCACGAAAGCGUGGGGAGCAAACAGG